GACGAACGCUGGCGGCGUGCCUAAUACAUGCAAGUAGAACGCUGAAGAGAGGAGCUUGCUCUUCUUGGAUGGGUUGCGAACGGGUGAGUAACGCGUAGGUAACCUGCCUGGUAGCGGGGGAUAACUAUUGGAAACGAUAGCUAAUACCGCAUAAUAGUAGAUGUUGCAUGACAUUUGCUUAAAAGGUGCAAUUGCAUCACUACCAGAUGGACCUGCGUUGUAUUAGCUAGUUGGUGAGGUAACGGCUCACCAAGGCAACGAUACAUAGCCGACCUGAGAGGGUGAUCGGCCACACUGGGACUGAGACACGGCCCAGACUCCUACGGGAGGCAGCAGUAGGGAAUCUUCGGCAAUGGACGGAAGUCUGACCGAGCAACGCCGCGUGAGUGAAGAAGGUUUUCGGAUCGUAAAGCUCUGUUGUAAGAGAAGAACGAGUGUGAGAGUGGAAAGUUCAC
Molecule: ribosomal RNA, 455 nt
Filed under: Streptococcus sp. oral taxon 064
Lineage: Bacteria; Bacillati; Bacillota; Bacilli; Lactobacillales; Streptococcaceae
Description: bacterial SSU rRNA
Rfam family: Bacterial small subunit ribosomal RNA
Source: RNAcentral